UGGGGAAUUUUGGACAAUUGGGCGAAAGCCUGAUCCAGCAAUGCCGCGUGUGUGAAGAAGGCCCUUCGGGUUGUAAACACUUUUGUCCGGAAAGAAAUCCUUGGCUCUAAUACAGUCGGGGGAUGACGGUACCGGAAGAAUAAGCACCGGCUAACUACGUGCCAGCAGCCGCGGUAAUACGUAGGGUGCAAGCGUUAAUCGGAAUUACUGGGCGUAAAGCGUGCGCAGGCGGUUUGCUAAGACCGAUNUGAAAUCCCCGGGCUCAACCUGGGAACUGCAUUGGUGACUGGCAGGCUAGAGUAUGGCAGAGGGAGGUAGAAUUCCACGUGUAGCAGUGAAAUGCGUAGAGAUGUGGAGGAAUACCGAUGGCGAAGGCAGCCCCCUGGGCC
RNAcentral lists this ribosomal RNA (389 nucleotides) under uncultured bacterium. Its description in RNAcentral is "partial 16S ribosomal RNA". It matches the Rfam family "Bacterial small subunit ribosomal RNA", at positions 355 to 735 of the family's 1533-position model. The record is from RNAcentral.